This 809-nucleotide ribosomal RNA is filed under the name Tylencholaimus sp. 1 HMM2018. RNAcentral describes it as "eukaryotic LSU rRNA". It matches the Rfam family "Eukaryotic large subunit ribosomal RNA", at positions 356 to 954 of the family's 3401-position model. Lineage: Eukaryota; Metazoa; Nematoda; Enoplea; Dorylaimida; Tylencholaimidae. The record is from RNAcentral.
GGGAAAAGUUGAAAAGAACUUUGAAGAGAGAGUUCAAAAGGGCGUGAAACCGCUUAGAAGAAAACGGACGGAGCCGUCAGGAGCCGUCGAGAAUCAGUCGUACGAUCCGCGAAGGCGUGUCCGGUACUAGAACGCGAGUCUAGCCGGCGCGUCGUUAGUAGCAGUCGCGCGGCGCAUUUCUCGAUGGUAAGCGCUGCGACCGAUACGAAAGGCCGGCGAAGCGAUUCGAUUGAGGUCGAGUCUCGAAAGAGACUCGCUACCAGUCCUAUCGUCUGAUCCCGCCGGACCGCCGUAUGUUUCGAGCGCCUCCUAAGAUGAUACGUCGGCGUAAACGCUCGUCUCGGCGAUGGAUAGCCGGUCGAUCACGUUCGGUCUCUGCUCGCAGGUACCGGCGAAUCUGGCCGACUUUGAAGUCGCGGACGACACAUUCGACGUAUCGGCGUCUGCAGCGUCAGCGUCGGUCACCCGUCCGACCCGUCUUGAAACACGGACCAAGGAGUCUAACAUAUGCGCGAGCUAAUAGGUGGUAAAACCUAAAGGCGCAAUAAAAGUAAACGCCGUCUCAGACGGCCGAGAUACGAUCCCGGAGUCCGUCGCGUCGUCCGGGCGCAGUAUCGUCCCGUCUCGACCGCACGUCGGUAGGGCGGAGAUAGAGCGCAUACGUUGGGACCCGAAAGAUGGUGAACUAUGCCUGAGCAGAGCGAAGCCAGAGGAAACUCUGGUGGAGGUUCGUAGCGGUUCUGACGUGCAAAUCGAUCGUCAGACUUGGGUAUAGGGGCGAAAGACUAAUCGAACCAUCUAGUAGCUGG